This 408-nucleotide long non-coding RNA is filed under the name Homo sapiens (human). Its description in RNAcentral is "HSALNT0409586". The record is from RNAcentral. Lineage: Eukaryota; Metazoa; Chordata; Mammalia; Primates; Hominidae.
UCCGGUAAAGCGAAUGAGUGAAACAUAUACCUGCUCUUCUUUCUUGAUUUUUUGUGUGGCACAUUUUUUUUUUUUUAACAGAUACAGCACUGACACCUGAAAUACGGGUAUAGCCUUAUUCCUGAAGAGUUUUGUUUUGGUAGUGGCUGCUGCUACUGCCCUUUUCCUGCCCAUUGUCUUUGUGUGUGAUUUUCACAAAACCAAACAUCAGUGCACCAUGAAAAAUAUAUAGCUGUGAAAUAAAAUUGUAAAUAUUUUUAUUUUACCUAUUAGAUCUUGAGCCCCCUUUGUACAGUUUUUGCACAUUAACAGGUGCCUUCCUGUUUGAACAGCAUCUCUUAUGAAAUGCUGAUUACAAUGUGAUAGUUGCUGUUCUGGGCAGAGGUUCCUGCUGAGUUACGGUAAUUG